RNAcentral lists this ribosomal RNA (877 nucleotides) under Lactiplantibacillus plantarum subsp. plantarum. RNAcentral's name for it is "bacterial SSU rRNA". It matches the Rfam family "Bacterial small subunit ribosomal RNA", at positions 17 to 858 of the family's 1533-position model. Lineage: Bacteria; Bacillati; Bacillota; Bacilli; Lactobacillales; Lactobacillaceae. The record is from RNAcentral.
UCCUGGCUCAGGACGAACGCUGGCGGCGUGCCUAAUACAUGCAAGUCGAACGAACUCUGGUAUUGAUUGGUGCUUGCAUCAUGAUUUACAUUUGAGUGAGUGGCGAACUGGUGAGUAACACGUGGGAAACCUGCCCAGAAGCGGGGGAUAACACCUGGAAACAGAUGCUAAUACCGCAUAACAACUUGGACCGCAUGGUCCGAGCUUGAAAGAUGGCUUCGGCUAUCACUUUUGGAUGGUCCCGCGGCGUAUUAGCUAGAUGGUGGGGUAACGGCUCACCAUGGCAAUGAUACGUAGCCGACCUGAGAGGGUAAUCGGCCACAUUGGGACUGAGACACGGCCCAAACUCCUACGGGAGGCAGCAGUAGGGAAUCUUCCACAAUGGACGAAAGUCUGAUGGAGCAACGCCGCGUGAGUGAAGAAGGGUUUCGGCUCGUAAAACUCUGUUGUUAAAGAAGAACAUAUCUGAGAGUAACUGUUCAGGUAUUGACGGUAUUUAACCAGAAAGCCACGGCUAACUACGUGCCAGCAGCCGCGGUAAUACGUAGGUGGCAAGCGUUGUCCGGAUUUAUUGGGCGUAAAGCGAGCGCAGGCGGUUUUUUAAGUCUGAUGUGAAAGCCUUCGGCUCAACCGAAGAAGUGCAUCGGAAACUGGGAAACUUGAGUGCAGAAGAGGACAGUGGAACUCCAUGUGUAGCGGUGAAAUGCGUAGAUAUAUGGAAGAACACCAGUGGCGAAGGCGGCUGUCUGGUCUGUAACUGACGCUGAGGCUCGAAAGUAUGGGUAGCAAACAGGAUUAGAUACCCUGGUAGUCCAUACCGUAAACGAUGAAUGCUAAGUGUUGGAGGGUUUCCGCCCUUCAGUGCUGCAGCUAACGC